This 305-nucleotide long non-coding RNA is filed under the name Capsella rubella. RNAcentral's name for it is "long non-coding RNA (CRUB_LNC004017)". The record is from RNAcentral. Lineage: Eukaryota; Viridiplantae; Streptophyta; Magnoliopsida; Brassicales; Brassicaceae.
UUUCACGUCAUCGGGUAGUUCAAGAGUCGUCAAUCUACAACCAUCCCUUAGAGAAGAAGACCUGAUUCACAAAACGUUGAGACAUUUUGACUGGAGUUUACUCUGCUCUGACUCUCCUACAAAAUCAUUGGAUCAGAUAAUUGAAACUGAUCUGAUAAAGCCAUGUCUUUGGUCAGAUUUUGGUGGUGAAUCUGAAGGCAUUGUGUCUGACCUUGUGGAAAAGAUUCUGCAACAAGUGUUACUUGAAUUCGCCCAUGAGCUAAGAACAAUGCAGAGGAGCCUAUUAUGUGGAUUAAUCUAAUUAC